Molecule: ribosomal RNA, 482 nt
Filed under: uncultured bacterium
Lineage: Bacteria
Description: partial 16S ribosomal RNA
Rfam family: Bacterial small subunit ribosomal RNA
Source: RNAcentral
AUUGAACGCUGGCGGCAUGCCUUACACAUGCAAGUCGAACGGUAACAGGUCUUCAGAUGCUGACGAGUGGCGAACGGGUGAGUAAUACAUCGGAACGUGCCCGAUCUUGGGGGAUAACGAGGCGAAAGCUUUGCUAAUACCGCAUACGAUCUACGGAUGAAAGCGGGGGAUCUUCGGACCUCGCGCGGACGGAGCGGCCGAUGGCAGAUUAGGUAGUUGGUGGGAUAAAAGCUUACCAAGCCGACGAUCUGUAGCUGGUCUGAGAGGAUGAUCAGCCACACUGGGACUGAGACACGGCCCAGACUCCUACGGGAGGCAGCAGUGGGGAAUUUUGGACAAUGGGCGAAAGCCUGAUCCAGCCAUGCCGCGUGCAGGAUGAAGGCCUUCGGGUUGUAAACUGCUUUUGUACGGAACGAAAAGCCUCUUUCUAAUAAAGAGGGGUCAUGACGGUACCGUAAGAAUAAGCACCGGCUAACUACGUG